This 227-nucleotide ribosomal RNA is filed under the name uncultured bacterium. Its description in RNAcentral is "partial 16S ribosomal RNA". It matches the Rfam family "Bacterial small subunit ribosomal RNA", at positions 28 to 240 of the family's 1533-position model. The record is from RNAcentral.
GACGAACGCUGGCGGCGUGCUUAACACAUGCAAGUCGAGCGGUAAGGCCCUUUCGGGGGUACGACGAGCGGCGAACGGGUAGGAGUAACACGUGGGUGGACCUCGCCCUCCAGCUCUGGGAGUAAGCCUGGGAAACCGGGGUACCGUAAUACCGGAUAUGACUCCAUGACGCAUGUUGUGGGGUGGAAAGACCUUGUGCGGCGUGAGGAGUGGGCCCGGCCGGCCGU